AUCCGCCCCUCCCGCAGCGCGGCGGGACCGGAGCGGCGGGAGGGCGGCCGAGGGCUCCGAGCACCGGGCAGCGCCGUGUCCGGGCCCUGCCAUUACCUGGGAGAGCCGGGGAAAGAACCUCAAGAGUAUGAACCUUGAGAAAUUGUGAUGGAGUAGCAAUGUAGAAGGGUUUAGUCAACAUCUUACACACAAGCUCAACCUGGCUAAUUGGUUGUUUUAGCCGAAGUACUGACCUCUUUCUGAUCCUUCUCCAUGAAGGGAGGCCUGCCUCGCUGCUGUCCAAAAAGAUGAAUGCACCACUGAGGAUUUCUUUAACACCACUGCUGGGAAGAGGAUCAAAUUCAUAGCUGCCGUAGAAGUCUGCAUAACUUGUCAGAGCAAUUCUCUACCGUGGCAAGUUACACAAGCUGGGGAGCUUGUCCUUGCCCCAGGGUAUCCUACCUAUCUCUGCCUUCUCUCUUCAAGCAUGGCUCCUUCUCUCCGUUCUUUUACAAAGGCAUCAUCCGCUGUACUUAUUUUUAGGACAACAGCCAGAAUUCCUGCCCUGUGGAGCUUGGUGAGUGGCCCCUGUGAUAAGGCAGUAGUUUCUUCCAGCCUUUCUUUUCGUUGAAAGUGUUGCUUAAAUAAAAGGAAAGGAUGAGCCUACACUCAGAAGAGAGAAAAAAAAAAAAGAAAACAAAAGCUGGGCUUGCCAACCUGCAGCAUGCUCUGUGAUUGAUUUCCGCUCGCAGUCUGCACAGCUCUGCCUGCACGGAUCUGUUUAGUCAUGUUGCAGGGAUGGACUGAAUGAGGCUGUUUGCUUCAGGACUGGUGUUUGUUCUCAGCUCUCCUCAAUGAUCAAAUGUUACCUGUGCUGGAGAGCACCUGUGUUGUAAUCGGGCUCUGUCCCUCCUUGGCAGGCAGGAGCUGUGCAGAGCCUUUGAAGGAAAGCAGGACUUAGCUGAAGGAGUAGAAAUAACCAUGGCUUUACUUGUGGUGGCUUUCUGUGACCAGUGUACACUGCAGUGGGCCAAGACCCAGUCUGCCUGUCAGGUCUCAAUAGUACCUGUGAAUAAUGGAGGGAGCCCCUGUUCAGUGACCACUUUUGCUACCAGACAAGAGGCAAGCCUUUGAGAUGCCUUCAUGAUCCCCUGCUGGUAGAGUUGGACUGGGACCAGGCCAGCACCUGAUCUCAGAUGAUGUUAUUUAUGGUCGUGGAGCCCAGCCACAGAUCCAUGGUUACACAGAGGCAUGAAUGGGAACAAGCACUGCACCAGUUUUCCUCAGCACACCAGCAAGGAAGGUGUGAAAUGCCUGUCCUUACCUUGGUGGUAAUUAUGGUAAUUAUGGAUUACCACCUCUGUGGCUUAUUGGAGCAGGAGAGGAAAGGUACAGUGUCAACACUACUGAUCUCCCCAGUUUGACCCAAAUCUACAUGUGCUUCCAAGUGAUGCAACACACGCCCUUCCUGAGAUUUGACUUUAAUUACAAACGAACUUUUUGUUCACAGUAAUAGCUGCCAAUAUUCCUUAAUGGCUUUAACUGCUCACACAGUUAUUCCCAGCAGCCUGGGGUGGCCCCUCCACUCUCUCUCCAAGGCUUACUGCUGUCAACUCGCUGUCUGUGCUUGUAUGUGUAGACAACACCACCAUACCAUGGAGACAAUACAUGUUUUUUUAAGUAGGGAUCGAGUGUAACAGUCAUACAAUGAUUGUGAUCUGUAUUUCACCUCUACUGAAAAUGUGUCUCUGCCCAUCCAGGGCCACUCUGCAAAAUAUCAAAUGCUUUCCUGGGCCAUAGGACAGAGAUACAAACUGUCUCCCACUGCCUUGUGGCUCUAGCUAGGAUGUUAAGCCAUGUGCU
This is a long non-coding RNA of Cuculus canorus (common cuckoo), 1842 nucleotides long. RefSeq lists it as uncharacterized. The transcript has 5 exons. Lineage: Eukaryota; Metazoa; Chordata; Aves; Cuculiformes; Cuculidae. The record is from RefSeq and is a predicted model, not a curated record.